RNAcentral lists this transfer RNA (69 nucleotides) under Ictidomys tridecemlineatus (thirteen-lined ground squirrel). RNAcentral describes it as "Spermophilus tridecemlineatus (thirteen-lined ground squirrel) tRNA". It matches the Rfam family "tRNA". From Rfam's summary of the family: Transfer RNA (tRNA) molecules are approximately 80 nucleotides in length. Their secondary structure includes four short double-helical elements and three loops (D, anti-codon, and T loops). The record is from Rfam by way of RNAcentral. Lineage: Eukaryota; Metazoa; Chordata; Mammalia; Rodentia; Sciuridae.
GGGGCUGUAGCUCAGUGGUAGAGCACUCGCCUCGCACGUGUGAGGCACUGGGUUCGAUCGUCAGCACCA